RNAcentral lists this ribosomal RNA (324 nucleotides) under Triticum aestivum (bread wheat). RNAcentral's name for it is "partial small subunit ribosomal RNA". The record is from RNAcentral. Lineage: Eukaryota; Viridiplantae; Streptophyta; Magnoliopsida; Poales; Poaceae.
GCAUUAGACACAUCUGGUGUUGAAGCGAGAUGGCUUCGAGAUCUUUUGAUGGACUUGCCAUUGGUUGAUAAACCGAUUCCGGCUAUCCUUAUGAACUGUGACAAUCAGACUGUCAUCACCAAGGUGAAGAGUUCAAAGGACAACAUGAAGUCCACCAAACACAUAAGAAUGAGAUUAAAAGCUGUCAGAAAAUUAAGAAACUCCGGAGUAAUAGCGUUGGACUAUGUCCAUACGGCUAAGAAUCUGGCAGAUCCCUUUACGAAAGGGCUAUCACGUGUUGUGAUAGAUAGUGCAUCGAGGGAGAUGGGUAUGAGACCCACAUGA